This 253-nucleotide ribosomal RNA is filed under the name uncultured bacterium. Its description in RNAcentral is "partial 16S ribosomal RNA". It matches the Rfam family "Bacterial small subunit ribosomal RNA", at positions 524 to 776 of the family's 1533-position model. The record is from RNAcentral.
UACGUAGGGUGCGAGCGUUAAUCGGAAUUACUGGGCGUAAAGCGUGCGCAGGCGGUGAUGUAAGACCGAUGUGAAAUCCCCGGGCUUAACCUGGGAACUGCAUUGGUGACUGCAUUGCUGGAGUAUGGCAGAGGGAGGUGGAAUUCCACGUGUAGCAGUGAAAUGCGUAGAUAUGCGGAGGAACACCGAUGGCGAAGGCAAUCCCCUGGGCCUGCACUGACGCUCAUGCACGAAAGCGUGGGGAGCAAACAGG